CUAGGAGAACCGAAAACAGUUCUAGACUGACCUGCGGUUUUAUAGCACUUUGGCAGUCAACUUCAGCUUGUGUCAGAGCAGACAUGACAGAACUGCCCAACGCCUAGUCUCGGGACGCCAACUCCACGGACUCAACUGCAGCCCCCCUCUUGCAUUUCAAUAAAUUUCAAACCUGGGGGCUAGAAAUGGGGAGCAGAGCUG
Chaetura pelagica (chimney swift) is the source of this 201-nucleotide non-coding RNA. The record is from Rfam. NCBI's taxonomy places the organism in Eukaryota, Metazoa, Chordata, Aves, Apodiformes, Apodidae.